CUUCUCAAAAUCAGAUACAUAAUAUCAAACAGAUGGCUUGAGCCAGUGAAUAAAUAAGUCAUAAAAGAGUUUUGUAUACUUCAUUGUUCUAGUUUAUGGCAAAACAGCAAUCAAGUUCUGUUGAAACCUGGAUAAAAUUUCUAGUUUCACUUUGUUUGAGUUCCAGAUGAUCUGGAAGAAAUAAAACUCCAGGAGCAAGUGUUCUUGGAAUCCCUUCUUCAUGUAAUUUACCCAAGAAAUCAGUUCAGCCUUUCUGAGGUUUUCCAAGCUAUAGCUUUAAAGAAAAAGACCUAAACUAAUAGUAGCUUUAUCAGUGUUCAUCCUGAGCAAAAAUGCUAACUGGCUAAUUACACAGAUACUGUAAGUGUUCAAUGGAGAUAAUUCAAAUGAUAGAGUUGGGGUGAGGGUAUAAAAACUAUGGAGAUGUUAUGUGGACACUGCAAAUCCAGAGCUCAAAUCAAUAAAAAUAUGCAUCAAGCAGCUACCAGUAAAAGCUCAGUCCUCUCAGAUGGCAACAGAUUACAUUCAAGUAACCUUUGACAAGGGAUUAUAUUUCCUCAUCUCCACCCUGAGAACUAGAUUUUACAUUAAAUUUUUCAACUGUGGUCUUUUCUUAUAUCUAGCUAACUGAACAUGUUCUUUAUCGAGAUUUUAUGAGAAUGACAGUGAUUGAGACACAGGCGCAUACUAUACAUUAAGCCAUGUAAAACAAACCAGUUGGAUAAUAUAAUGAAUUACAAGAUAUUAGGGAAAUAUGAUAAUGAUGAUAACCAGGGCAGUUAAUGUUCCCUCUAAAGGGUCAUACAUUGCUUACCUAGAACCACUGCUGUCAUUCAUGUCUUGCCAGAACUUCUGAUUUUUCAAGAUAAACCAGAAACCUUGCUUCCACAAUUCAAUUAGGUUAAGAUCAGAUUAAAUCUGAUUGACUAUCUUUUAAGUUAAGCUGCCUAAUACGCAAACUGUUUAUCUGAAACCUAUGAAACCUAUGAUUAGUGAGCUCUAAGAAAACAAUGCAUCAAGGAAUACCCAAACCAGAGGAAACCAGAAUACUCACCUGGUUUGACAUGUCUCUUAACAUAGGAACCCAAUUACAAUGCCGUUUCCCUAACAAACUGAUUGUUCAACCACUGCUUAUAUACCACCAAGGAAAUUUACUGUUGCAUGUUUGAAAUACUUAGGUUUAUACUCAAGCUAUUUCCUUUGAAGCAACAUGGACCACUAUCACGGCCUCUAGUCUACUCAAACCUAGUGAGCUGAAACCAGGAAAUUGAUGGAGUCAGUAAGUGUGUAUUCCCUGGAAAGAUUUUUGGUGCUACCUUGCUACCUGAAAAAUGGUCACUAAAAGAAGUUUCCAUCAAAAACUAAACUUAAAUAUACUAUAUUCUGUAUAUAAAUAUCAAAAUAGUCAUUUGAAUAUGAUACAAAUGAACUUAUUUAUAAAAUAAACAGACUUAAAGACAUAGAAAACACACUUAUGAUUACCAAAGCAGAAGGUGGGUGGAGAGAUAAAUUAGGAAUUUGGGAUUAGUAGAUACAAAUAUAUAAAUAUAUUGAUAUAAAUAUACAGAUAUAAAAUAGAUAAAUAAGAUAUUACAUAGCACAAGAAACUAUAUUCAAUAUCUUGUAAAAACCUAUCAUGAAAAAGAAUAUGAAAAAUAAUAUGCAUAUAUGUAUAACUGAAUUACUUUGCUAUACACUGGAAGGAAACAUAACAUUGUAAAUCAACUAUACUCCAAUAAAAAGAUAGUUAUUUAAUGCAAUGCAGUACCUUGGGUUGUAUUCUGGAAAAACAGAAAAAAGAAAAAUCAGUGGAAAGACUACUAAAUUUCAAACAAAUUUUGUAUUUUAUAGUUUGUUUUUUUUUGUUUUUUUUGUUUUUUUUAUUUUCCCACUGUACAGCAAGGGGGUCAGGUUAUCCUUACAUGUAUACAUUGCAAUUACAGUUUUUCCCCCACCCUUUCUUCUGUUGCAACAUGAGUAUCUAGACAUUGUUCUCAAUGCUGUAUUUUAUAGUUUGUAUCAUUGAUAAUUUUGUAUUUGGGAUAAAUGUAUCAUGGUUAUGUAAUGUAUUAACAUUAAAGGAAGAUGGAUGAGGAGUAUACAGGAUCUUUGUAAUAUCUUUGCAACUUUCUCAAAAUCUAAAAUAAUUCCACAAUAAUAUAUGCAUGUUUUAUAUAAUUUUAAGUUGCAAAUGCCACAUGAAUAUGGCACUCAUUAGGGGAAAAUAAGUGAAAACAAAAUUAGGUUGGCAUGGAAACAAUAGAAAGCUUUUUUCAUUUCUAUUUUUUCAAUAUGUUCUUUUGUACCAUUUUUAUUAGAUUCCACAUAUAAAUGAUAUCAUAUGAUAUUUUUCUUUUUCUAUGAUAUUUUCUUAUUUCACUCAGUAUGGUAAUUUCUAGAUCCAUCCAUGUUGCUACAAUGUCAUUAUUUUCUUCUUUUUUAUGGCUGAGUAGUAUUUCAUUGUAUGUAUGUACAACGUCUUCUUUAUCAUGGACAUUUAGUUUGCUUCUAUGUCUUGGCUAU
This 2523-nucleotide long non-coding RNA is filed under the name Sus scrofa (pig). RNAcentral describes it as "lncRNA (ENSSSCG00000061565.1)". Lineage: Eukaryota; Metazoa; Chordata; Mammalia; Artiodactyla; Suidae. The record is from RNAcentral.